Molecule: ribosomal RNA, 1241 nt
Filed under: metagenome
Description: bacterial LSU rRNA
Rfam family: Bacterial large subunit ribosomal RNA
Source: RNAcentral
UGAGUACGAGAUGCUACGGCAUCGAAGCAGUCUAUGUCAUACUUCCAAGAAAAGCUUGCAAUGUCAUAAACAAAUAAUGCCUGUACCAUAACCGACACAGGUGGGUAGGUAGAGUAUACUAAGGGGCGCGAGAUAACUCUCUCUAAGGAACUCGGCAAAAUGACUCCGUAACUUCGGGAGAAGGAGUGCCUUAUUUUAUAAGGUUGCAAUAACAAGAUCCAAGCAACUGUUUACCAAAAACACAGGUCUCCGCUAAGUCGUAAGACGAUGUAUGGGGGCUGACGCCUGCCCAGUGCCAGAAGGUUAAAGAAGUUGGUUAGCAUUAGCGAAGCUGAUAACUGAAGCCCUGGUGAACGGCGGCCGUAACUAUAACGGUCCUAAGGUAGCGAAAUUCCUUGUCGGGUAAGUUCCGACCCGCACGAAAGGCGUAAUGAUUUGGAUACUGUCUCAGAGAGGGGCUCGGUGAAAUAGACUUGUCUGUGAAGAUGCGGACUACCUGCACCUGGACAGAAAGACCCUAUGAAGCUUUACUGUAACUUGAGAUUGAAAUUGGACUUUAUUUGCGCAGUAUAGGUGGGAGACGUUGAAAAUAUUCUUGCGGGAAUAUUGGAGUCAUCAGUGAGAUACCACUCUUAUAAUGUUAGAUUUCUAACUUUGUAUCAUUAUCUGGUCAAAGAACAGUUUCAGGCGGGCAGUUUGACUGGGGCGGUCGCCUCCCAAAGGGUAACGGAGGCGCACAAAGGUUUCCUCUGAACGUGUAGAAAUCGUAUCUAGAGUGUAAAGGCAUAAGGAAGCUUGACUGUGAGACCUACAAGUCGAGCAGGGACGAAAGUCGGUCUUAGUGAUCUGACGGUGCUGAGUGGAAAGGCCGUCACUCAACGGAUAAAAGUUACUCUAGGAUAACAGGUUGAUCUCCCCCAAGAGUUCACAUCGACGGGGAGGUUUGGCACCUCGAUGUCGGCUCAUCGCAUCCUGGGGCGGUAGUACGUCCCAAGGGUUGGGCUGUUCGCCCAUGAAAGCGGUACGCGAGCUGGGUUCAGAACGUCGUGAGACAGUUCGGUCCAUAUCCGGUGUAGGCGUAGAAUAUUGAGAGGAGCCUUCUUUAGUACGAGAGGACCGAGAAGGACAUACCUCUGGUGUACCAGUUAUCAUGCCAACGGUAAACGCUGGGUAGCUAUGUAUGGAGAGGAUAACCGCUGAAAGCAUCUAAGUGGGAAGCCCACCUCAAGAUAAGUAUUCAU